UAGAGCCAAGCUAUCCAUUUGGCUGCAAAAUAAAUGAAAUGAGAAGAACAGUAAUAUCAGCCAGCUGGACAACCAAAGCAAGGUUUGAAGUGAACUCUCUCCUCCCUCACCGAACCCACAGAAGCGCCUCCGUGCAGGGAAGCCACACAGGGCACGACAGCAGCUGACACCAUUCCUCAGAAAGGGAGACAAGUGUUCAAAUGUGGACCUCUGAACUCAGAUCCGUCUGGCCGCAGAAGAUCCUGAAACCGAGAAGAGAGAGGAGAGGUUGAAAGCAGCAGAGAUAGUCUGGUACAAAAGGAUGAAUACAGAGCUCCUUCUGGAUUAGUGAACAUAGACACUAAAAAGGCUUCUGGAA
Dromaius novaehollandiae (emu) is the source of this 358-nucleotide long non-coding RNA. RefSeq lists it as uncharacterized. The record is from RefSeq and is a predicted model, not a curated record. The transcript is spliced from 2 exons. NCBI's taxonomy places the organism in Eukaryota, Metazoa, Chordata, Aves, Casuariiformes, Dromaiidae.